Molecule: ribosomal RNA, 468 nt
Filed under: uncultured bacterium
Lineage: Bacteria
Description: partial 16S ribosomal RNA
Rfam family: Bacterial small subunit ribosomal RNA
Source: RNAcentral
GACGAACGCUGGCGGCGUGCUUAACACAUGCAAGUCGAACGGAAAGGCCCUGCUUUUGUGGGGUGCUCGAGUGGCGAACGGGUGAGUAACACGUGAGUAACCUGCCCUUGACUUUGGGGUAACUUCAGGAAACUGGGGCUAAUACCGGAUAUGAUCUCCUGCUGCAUGGUGGUGGUUGGAAAGUUUCGGCGGUUGGGGAUGGACUCGCGGCUUAUCAGCUUGUUGGUGGGGUAGUGGCUUACCAAGGCUUUGACGGGUAGCCGGCCUGAGAGGGUGACCGGCGACAUUGGGACUGAGAUACGGCCCAGACUCCUACGGGAGGCAGCAGUGGGGAAUAUUGCACAAUGGGCGGAAGCCUGAUGCAGCAACGCCGCGUGCGGGAUGACGGCCUUCGGGUUGUAAACCGCUUUCGCCUGUGACGAAGCGUGAGUGACGGUAAUGGGUAAAGAAGCACCGGCUAACUACGUG